UACGGGGGGAGCAAGCGUUGUUCGGAUUUACUGGGCGUAAAGGGCGCGUAGGCGGCCACUGCAAGUCAGUUGUGAAAUCUCCGGGCUUAACCCGGAAAGGUCAACUGAUACUGCAGGGCUAGAGUGCAGAAGGGGCAACUGGAACUCUCGGUGUAGCGGUGAAAUGCGUAGAUAUCGAGAGGAACACCUGCGGCGAAGGCGGGUUGCUGGGCUGACACUGACGCUGAGACACGAAAGCGUGGGUAGCAAACAGG
This 254-nucleotide ribosomal RNA is filed under the name uncultured bacterium. Its description in RNAcentral is "partial 16S ribosomal RNA". It matches the Rfam family "Bacterial small subunit ribosomal RNA", at positions 524 to 776 of the family's 1533-position model. The record is from RNAcentral.